CUCGUAGGUGGCCAACUAAGUCAUACGUGAAAUCCCUCGGCUUAACCGGGGAACUGCGUCUGAUACUGGAUGGCUUGAGUUUGGGAGAGGGAUGCGGAAUUCCAGGUGUAGCGGUGAAAUGCGUAGAUAUCUGGGGGAACACCGGUGGCGAAGGCGGCAUCCUGGACCAACACUGACGCUGAUGAGCGAAAGCCAGGGAGCAAACG
RNAcentral lists this ribosomal RNA (206 nucleotides) under uncultured bacterium. RNAcentral describes it as "partial 16S ribosomal RNA". It matches the Rfam family "Bacterial small subunit ribosomal RNA", at positions 568 to 774 of the family's 1533-position model. The record is from RNAcentral.